AGCCACAUCUGUAAUCCUUGCUGAGUGUCGGUCGGUCGGGAAUCUAGGUCCAUGCACCGGCACAGCUUCGAGCAAUGGUGUUUUGGUGAUGGCAGCGAUGUCUCUUCUGGACCUCCACUGACUCUCCUGCCCUUCUCUCCUGGACCGAUCGGCUUCGAGGACACCGUCGUAAUCAUAAUGGGAGCUACAGAGGAUCUCACCACGUCUUGGCCAUGGCUCCUCCAACCUCAUUGGCUCCAAACUGCUCCUCUUCUCCUGGACCCUGUGUGAAGUCUGUGACCCCUUGCUAUCCUGACCCCUGCUUGACACCCCCACCCGCUGCUUCGUCAUGGUUAGCACCUGGCACCUCACGUUCAAGUUCCGGUACUGUUUUGUACAGCAGCUGUUUUUGUACGAUCCCCGGCGGGUCUCAGCAUCCCGAGCCUUGCACUCCGCGAGGCUCUACACGGGCCUUUUCCGUGGCGAGUGUAUUCCCCAGGUCAUUCGUGCGUCCCACCUCCCGCCCCGUAUGCCCUCUCCUCCUGGCCACCCUGGCACCAAGCCCCUGCUGUGUGCUAGGUGUCGGGCUGGACGCUGAGGACAGGAUAGACUUCCGUGACAGAGGUGACAAACGGUUACGCAAAGUGUUCUUGACAGCCGGGAAGGCAGCUGCAGGAGAUCCGGUGUGGAACUCGGGACACUGACUGGGAAGGCCAGCAAAGGCUCCCCCAGGAAGGGAUUUUAGGAGGAGACCUAAAGGAAAUGCCAUAAUCAGACUUCAAAGGAGAUGGGAGGAGCUUUCUAAGCAGAAGCCAGUUCCAAAGGAAAGGGGCGGGGCUUGCAUAGGGGCGGGGCUUGUAUACGUCCUAGAUAGAACGGCAUGCAGAGAUGAGGGUUGAACGUGUAAGUCCGUGGGAAGCAGGAUGCUCACCCCUGUCUGUAUUGGAUGGUUUCAGUAACGGCCUCCCUGAAUACAUGUUCCUUGGCGAAGAGAUCUCCCUCUACCCCACAAGCAGCAGACUCUACUUCCCUCCCCGGGGAGCCUGGCCAUGCUGACCUCUGAUCAACGUGAAGAUGACAUACGUACCAGAGGCAGAGCUGCUGCUGGGGAGGACACUUUGCCAUUGUGGGAACAAGCAUGCCUCCCCGAGAACAAGAGGCUCCAGUUAUACGAGACCCCAGACAUGGAUGAAGCCAUCCUCCACUACCUGGUCCCCACCCAACCAAACCAGUCCAGACCACAGACAUCUGCCUAAUCCAUAGAAUCAUGAGCUUUAGUAAACUUUGCUGCCAGGGAUUGAA
Mesocricetus auratus (golden hamster) is the source of this 1281-nucleotide long non-coding RNA. RefSeq lists it as uncharacterized. The record is from RefSeq and is a predicted model, not a curated record. The transcript is spliced from 2 exons. Lineage: Eukaryota; Metazoa; Chordata; Mammalia; Rodentia; Cricetidae.